This 425-nucleotide ribosomal RNA is filed under the name uncultured bacterium. Its description in RNAcentral is "bacterial SSU rRNA". It matches the Rfam family "Bacterial small subunit ribosomal RNA", at positions 356 to 773 of the family's 1533-position model. The record is from RNAcentral.
AGGGAAUCUUCCACAAUGGACGAAAGUCUGAUGGAGCAACGCCGCGUGAGCGAAGAAGGUUUUCGGAUCGUAAAGCUCUGUUGCCGGAGAAGAACGCGUGCCAGAGGAAAUGCUGGUGCAGUGACGGUAUCCGGCCAGAAAGCCACGGCUAACUACGUGCCAGCAGCCGCGGUAAUACGUAGGUGGCAAGCGUUGUCCGGAAUUAUUGGGCGUAAAGCGCGCGCAGGCGGCUUCUUAAGUCUGAUGUGAAAUCUUGCGGCUCAACCGCACGCGGUCAUUGGAAACUGGGGAGCUUGAGUACAGAAGAGGAGAGUAGAAUUCCACGUGUAGCGGUGAAAUGCGUAGAGAUGUGGAGGAAUACCAGUGGCGAAGGCGGCUCUCUGGUCUGUUACUGACGCUGAGGUGCGAAAGCGUGGGGAGCAAAC